GAGGGGAGCGAGCGGGCCGCCGGGAGCGCACUGUGUACAAACAGAGGCGGCGUGCGUCCUUUGGAAGGAAUUGGGCCAUGAGAAGAGCCCUCAUGAAUGGGAUUAGUUCCCUUAUAAGAAGAGACACCAAGGAAGUGAUCUUUCUCUGCCCUCUGCUAUGUGAAGACAAGGUAAGAAGACAGCUAUGAACCAAGAAGCAGGCCCUUACCAGACACCAAAUCUGCUGGUGCAUUGAUCUUGGACUUCUCAGCCUCCAGGACUGUGAGAAAUAAAUGUUUAUUGUUGAAGCCACCCAGUCUACAGUAAUUUGUUAUAGCAGCUGAAAUUGACUAAGACAAUUUAAAAAAAUUAAUCUCAUUGACUAUCAAUUUGGAUUCUGGAGCAUACCUGGAUUCAGGUAUACAUUGGAUUUGGGCAUAUCUGAACUGGAAUAUGGUCUCUAUCAUUCUAACUCCUUUAACUAAGUUAAAGUCUGUUAAGUGCCAAACCUCAGUAUUCUCAUCUGUAAAAUGAAGGUAGUGAUAGUAUCAAACUGAUAGUGGUAGGUUGUGGUGGUGCACAAAAGGGCCUAGUCCAGCACUGGACACAUGGUGAUGAUGAUGAAAGAUAAUGAUACUGAUAAAUAAGAAGACAAUACUAAUAUACAUAAUUCCAAAAGAAUUUUUCUUAAUACGUGAUCCUCUUCACUCCCCGUCUCCCAUCCCCAUUAAAUUACCUGGAAUUUUUUAGUCCAUCUUUCAGUUUGUCAAGCAACGAAUAACACUAAAGGUAGUCUUUUUUAUUAUCGUGUAAUUAUGGAAUUUUUUAUUAUUUUGCAUUUUAAAACUUUGUUUUGAAUUUCCAAAACUUUUUAUUUAAUAUCUAAAAUGUCUUUCUACUAAAAUUUUGCUCUCACCGUCUGAGACUCAAAGCAGAAAACCCAGCCAAGACCAUCUCAAAUUCUGACCUACAGAACUGGGAGUUAAUAAUUGGUGUUGUUUUAAACUGCUGAGUCUGUGGUAGUUUGCUAUGAAGACUAAUAUAGUUGGUUACUAUUGUUAUUCUAAUUUCAGGGAGAAGGAAUAAGUCAUGGAGCGGUUAGGUUAAUUGUCCAUCCUCUCAAGUUAGUAAGUGUUGGAGCCGAUAAGUGAAUCUAAACAGCGUGAAUCUAAAGCCCACUGCAUACUUCUGCCAACAAUUAUGAAGGGUCGACUGUAUGCUAAGCUCUAAUGCAUUUUUACAUAUAUUGCUUUACUAAAUAGGUUACCUCAACAACCUUUAUGAGGUAAAUAUUAUUAUUAUUUGCAUUUGACUACUGAGGAAACCAAGAAUCAAAACCUUUAAGUACAUUGCCCAGGAUCAAGGUGGCGGUGAGGAAUGGAGCCAAGAGCUAGUAUCAGAGCCCUGCUCUGGUUCCAGUAGUGAUUUUCACAGCCAUUGUGUUAAAAUGCCUAUUUAGACAGUGGUCUAACUUACUUUAUUUAUUGACAUUUUCAAUUUCAAUGGUUAUAAUUAUAAUUGUCAUUUUUUAGUACAGUUUGCAUUUCUCCCUGAUCUUCUUGAUGCAUCAUUUUAGAAUAUACAUUGCUGAAAUGUAGAAUUUCAAGCACAUUUUAAAUUCUCUACAAUAUUUGCAUAACUCAUAACACUUUUCUUCAUUGCUCCCACAAGCACCAAGAUAAUUCUUUCCUCCAACCCUCUGCUCAUGCUGUUAUCCCCACCUGAAAUGCCCUCUUACAAAUCCUACUAGCUGAAUUACAGUUUCCAUUUAAGACCUCCCCGAAUUAUUCUAGCACCAGAGAACCAUCAUUUCUUAGAAUUAACAGUGCUUUUAAUUUUUUUUCUAGUUGUUUCACUUGUGUUAAUCUUAUCUUUCCAAAGAAUUAUAUGGUUCUUACCAUUUAGAUAACUGCAUGUCUUAGACAUAGCUGAGUGUUAUGUUUUAAAUUUCUUCAGUCUUUCCACUGUGAACACUAAGGAAAAUUAAUUUUUAAGACUACAGAUUUGAUACCAAAUCCCUACUUCCUAAUAUUUCACUGCCUGAUUCCCUAAUGGAUGCUCUUUCCAGAAAAUGUGUAGGGUCAUUAAGCAAGAGUGUACCUUUGCUUUCAGAAUUUGACCCUGGUAGGAGAAAUUUCUGGUGCUUCUAAUUCUUUCCCUCCAGUUUCCCAGUCAAACUCAUUUCAGUGACUUGGUUUUUAGCUUCCUGAAAUAUGUUUGAAUAAUUAAUAUAUACACACAAUAAAAGUUCAAAGGUACAAAAGAGUGUGCAGGAAAAUAAAAGUUUUCCUCCUAAUGACAUUCCCUUCUUACACAAGGUUAUUCCCUCAGGGCCUACUGCUGAUAUCUAGUAGCUAUGCUUGUGUAUCCUUCUAAAGAUACACAAACACACCCCCCUAUAUAUGUGUGUUUAUAUGUACUUGUGCAUACAUGUGUGUAUAUAUAGUGUGUAUAUGUGUACACACAUACUUUUUACAAAAGUUACUAAAUUAUACAAUCAUGGAUCUUGCUUUUCUUCACAAACGUUCUGUGUUUUGAAAUUGUAUCAAGGACUGCAUAGUAUCUGUAUAUGUAAAUCCUUUUUGAUAGACAUUUAAGUUGCUUCCAAUCUUUUGCUAUUGCAAGCAAUAUUACAU
RNAcentral lists this long non-coding RNA (2615 nucleotides) under Homo sapiens (human). Its description in RNAcentral is "EDIL3 divergent transcript". The record is from RNAcentral. Lineage: Eukaryota; Metazoa; Chordata; Mammalia; Primates; Hominidae.